Molecule: long non-coding RNA, 3807 nt
Organism: Clupea harengus (Atlantic herring)
Lineage: Eukaryota; Metazoa; Chordata; Actinopteri; Clupeiformes; Clupeidae
Source: Ensembl
CUGGCAAAGGACACGCUCAGCUCAGCUCAGCGCUAGACUUGGGAGAAAAGCAGGACAUACACAUUUAUUUGGAAAGAGAGGCAGAGAAGAAGUAAGUUCUUAAAGGUGCAGUCGUGGAUUGUAUUACGUUUACACUUUUUGUUGAAUUCAGUGAAAUUCUCUUCGCGUGCCACCAGCUGUCCAUUCAAAAAAAGUCCUGGCUCUGUAAGGCUCUGUAAAUGGGACACAAACAAGAUGGUUCAGGUGAAGCCAUACACUACGGCUAGUUCAUGCUGCUUCAUGAGUGAUUGGCCAUUUAGCUCAAAUUUCAACUUACUUUUAGCCAGAAUCGAGGACUGUGCCUUUAAGACAAAGGUCAGACUAUUUGUUAUGUAGCCCCUUAAACCCCUCUUUGGAGUUUUAGCUUCACUCUUUUGUGUCAACAGAAUUUGUUUCCAUGAACAUAGAUUAGUAUCAUAUUGAGCCUACAAACUGGUGUACUUUUUCAUAACAGGGAAGACCUCGUGUAAGAACAUUUAUAGGGAGGAUCUUUUUGGGGGUUUGUGGGAUAGUGUCAGGCAGUGGCAUAUAUUGCAUUAUGUAAUUUUUUCUGAUAAUGAAGCGUCUUCUUUUUCUAAAGUUUAUUUAACAUUUGCAUAUUGAUACUGAGAUACGAACUGUGCUAUGUAUAAAAUUACCUCAGCGGUUACAGUAAAAAAGCCCCUUCUGAGAGUGCUGUGUUCAAUUAUUCUGGGUCUCAUAGCAUCUGAUAGCAGGCAAGUCAUUCAUUUUCGAAAGAAAAACAAUGGACUUAUUCCUGGACGGGUUUCCUGGCCUCCUCUGGCAAAUUGAAACAUUUUGGGAUCGCGCUAAAGCGUACGGCUGGCUUUAGUGCCCAGGAGAGUGGAGGCGUACGGCUGGCUUUCGUGCCCAGGAGAGUGGAGGCCUGGCCUGGCCUGGCCUGGCACCGGCUGCAGUGUGGUUCUAAUCGGUGGAACACUUGCGCAUCAGGUCCCUAUUAGUGUCUCAGCUCUGUAACUCGUUUGACCAGAGACUGCAGUCAAAUGGAAAGUCAACAACAGAUCAGGCUCAUUUUCAAGAGGAGGGGAGAGCGGGAGACCAAGGCCACUGCAUCACACUCUGGUUCCCGUCAGUCCUCUCUCCGUCGGUGCAUGGUCGGUCAACCAACAUGCUCAGUCCUAUGACUUCCCCCCUGAAAGCUUUGAUAUCUCCAUGACCACUUUGUGGCCAAAGCACAGGGACUUCAAAGGAAGUGUUUACGCUAUGCUGAAUAUAAUAUGUAUGCUAACAUGACUACAAUUGAGGAAAAAAUAUUUGUUUUGUGCCAUGCCUUCCCCUCCUCUGCCGUUUAACAACCUGGAACGUAAAAGCAUCUGUCAACAAUCAGAGAGGGAGAAAGGCAUGAAUACAAACACCCUUGUUUAGUAGAGGACUUCCUGACUUUGUGCGUUCGUGAGUGUCGUGCUUCCCCUGGUACCUUUUAUGUUCUGCAAGUCCGUUCGGACUUGAUAGCCAGGAAAGCAGGAAGAAGUUUCCAGCUGAAGACCUCAGUGAGAUGAAGGUAUGCAGUUGGAGAAUGUCUGAACACCCAAACACCACAGAAUGCAAUUUCACUUGUAAAUCAAAGUGUUUUGCUUUACAGAUUUGAUGUUAGUGGUCCAAAUCAGAUGCAGAUAUUUGCUGAUAUUUUUUAGCGCAGUUUGCCACAACGUGCAUGGACACAUCAAAAUCCAAAGUCUGUAGUCUGUAGUUAAACCAUUGUAAAAACACGUUGUUUUUUCAGGUGUUAGAUAACCCAGAACAAAACAAAAAAUCUGUUUUGGGGAUGGCUAUAUAUUGUUUCCAUGUCUGCUUUUACCUUGCAUCAUUGCAUUCUAUUCAUCACAUCAAGAACAUAUCAUUAUCAUCAUCAUCACCAUCAUCAUCCUCACAUAUCUCUUUUUGUCAAACUGGUGGUGUGUAAAUGUAUUCUCUUGUUCUCUGAAGUGGCCCUCCUCUUUAGUGGUGGAUGUGAUCUGCAUCUGUCAGCCGGAGCCAUGGAGGGUGGCACCGGGGCUCUCUGCCAGGGCUAGAGCUGUUUCACUGAAGCCAGAAAAGGAACCAGAUGUCCACAAUCAUGUUUUUUUUCAGUAUUCUGAAUUAUGGUUAGCAAAAGGGAAGCGAUUCCAGUGACUCCACACAUUUUGGUGAGUUAUUGGAUUGCUGCAGGAAUUGAAAAAAUGUGUGAGUGUGUGUGUUUGCCAGCCCCUGUGGUCCCCGCUGAGAGACACCGGGAAGCGGGAAGCAGAAGCGCAUGAAGUGACAGAGUUUCACAAACGAGGUGCGCGCCUCGAGAAUUCAGCCUUGCUGACACUCAUUAGCCAAGGGAAAACAGAAAAAGCUUGGAAUAGAGUGGAAUAGUGUUUCAUUCUUUUGCUGUUUCAUUUGUAGACUUAAAUAAGAACAAUGAAAAUAACAUUAAAUAAGAACAAUGAAAAUAAUUUCAUUUUAAAGUUUCCAUGUGAUUGCCCGCUUCAAAUAUGAUUCCAAAUAUUGAUCAUCCUUUGAUAUUCAGUUCACUGACUUGAUCUACCCACCACUACAUUAAUCUGAUUGAACUGAUGAUUUCACAAUCAUUAUCAUCACAAAUGGCAAUAAUAUUUUCUGUCUGAAUUCAUUGUUUUUUUUGGUCUUUUUUCAGGACACUACCUCUCUUGUAGCAUUUAUCUUGGAUUGUUUUGCGAGCAAGGGACAAAGAGGGGUCAAUGAUAGCUAUCCCAUGGAUUCAGAUAUUGCCAUAACGCAUAGAAUGUCAAAAAAAAUUCCAGAAAGAUCCAAGGGACAAGGUUUGUUCUGUAAAGGCUGCAUUCUGUUGAAGCUAUGUAAUGUACCUGUCUUUCUACACUCCUAAACAGUGACAUCUGACAACCUCAGGUGAGGAGAAGGAAAUGGGGGAAAACCUGAAAUCGAUGCAACACUGCCUUCUACUGGACACUCCAAGAAAAGGUACAGUGGAAUUAAAAUUCAGUUGACUGUCAGGCAAGCAGGCUCCCUUCAUUUAAGUAAAUCAAACCUGCAAAUACAUAUAGAAAAAAAAACACAUUUUCAUUCAUUAGAUGUUGAGAGUAAUACAAGUUAAAAUUCUUUGCUUGUUAACUUACCAUUUAAAAUUUAAAUCUGUGUCAUACCCUUAAUCAGUAUUCUCAGACAAAGCAAACUACCAACUCUAAAAUACAGAACCCAGAAUUCGUAAGUAUUUUUACUGUCUGUACUUGACCUCUCUGCUUUUCUCAUUUUUGCCGAGUGAAAGACAGAGAAAGAGCGGUGCUGUUAAGAGUGUGUGUGUUAGCAUGUGUCCGUGUGGCAGAGGUUAGUCUGGCCUCCACUGACCCGUGAGGUGUGUGUACAGUAAACGGCACCCCUACGACCUCCUACAGCAGCUCUGCUAAGUACAACUACACAAUGUUCAUGUGAACUGUGUUCCAAAGAUCUGCGUCCCGCAAUCAUUUUCACCGUGGUGUGGUAGUCUUCCCCUCCAUCUCAGGUGUCCAACCACGACUCUUCCCCCCGCAGGAGACGGGCAGUACACGGUCUGACACCACCAAAUACGGACAUAGGAGUUUGCUUGUCAAGCUUGCUCAUUUUAGCCAUUUUAAAAGUUUCCUGACAUUAUAUGAAUUUGUCAAUUUUGCCAUCAGUGUUUGGAGGUUUUACAUUUGGUUAAAGGAAACCUGUCAAAUGGACCAGUAGAUGAAUUUGGUUAAAGGAAUCCUGUCAAACGGACCAGUAGAUGAAUUUGGUUAAAGGAAUCCUGUCAAACGGACCAGU